This is a long non-coding RNA of Cygnus olor (mute swan), 206 nucleotides long. RefSeq lists it as uncharacterized. NCBI's taxonomy places the organism in Eukaryota, Metazoa, Chordata, Aves, Anseriformes, Anatidae. The transcript is spliced from 3 exons. The record is from RefSeq and is a predicted model, not a curated record.
GCACCCCAAAAGAUGCUGGGGCAGGCGCCAUGGGCAAGGCUGUCUCCUUCUGGCCCUGCCGUCCUGCUGCUGGUGCUCUCUGCCCGCUUGACCUCCCAGGCUAUCUGCAGCUCCCCAGGGGAUCUCCUGGCUCCUGCUCUCCAACUCAACACAACUUCUGCUCAGCCAGGUACCACAGCUGUGCUCCAGUGUUUUCUCCGUGUGGU